This is a long non-coding RNA of Ictalurus punctatus (channel catfish), 1856 nucleotides long. RefSeq lists it as uncharacterized. NCBI's taxonomy places the organism in Eukaryota, Metazoa, Chordata, Actinopteri, Siluriformes, Ictaluridae. The transcript is spliced from 4 exons. The record is from RefSeq and is a predicted model, not a curated record.
ACAUUACUGUGUACGUCACUUCCGCAAGACAUUAAGUUUCCUUCACAAGCCAGAUUGUGCUCUUUUUUUAUCGGUGGACAUGUUGGAUGCGUCCAAGUCAGGUUGUGUUUGAGUUGUGCAGGCUUGUGUCACCUGACUUAAAGAAGGCAUUGUUUGAAGGGCUUGAUCAGCACCUCCCACGGCUCCUGCAGUUGUACAACACCGAGAGGCAGUGAAAUACCCGAAAUCCAACAUGUGAUGACCCGCAUUGAUCAAGAGGACCAUUAAUCACAAUUAUGAAAGAUGACACAUCGGGUACAAAGUAUCAGGGUUUUUUUUUUCCUUUUCUUUUUUUUCACAUUGGUUGAACUUUUGCUACACCAUUUCCAGUGUGUGUGUGUGUGCUACAAAUCACUUUGAGAUCUCUAAUCAGAAGAAAAGGGAAGGAGUUCUUCAGGGCCUACCUUAUUUCAUGAGAGAAAAUCCAAGCAAUUUUUUUUUACUUUAUUUAUUUUUAUAAAGUUUUUGAGGUAAGAUGGUAAAUAUUUUUAUUUUUAGGAUUCCUCUGUCUGGAGGAUAUGUUGUUGUUGUUGUUGUUGUCCUCCUUCUCUCCCUAAGGUGCCCAGUAAUGCAAGAUAUGAAUGGUAAAUUGUGAAAUUUGGCACAUUGAUACUACAGGCCACGAGUAACUGCCACAAAACAAAUGGCCCACAUGAGUCCAUAGGUGGCACUACAGGUCAUGCCCAAAUCUACAUGAUUUUCCCUUGGUCCCACAAGUCCAAAAUGUCUGAAAAUUGAUAUAUGUGCCUUAUUUCUUAUCGGGAACAAAAAAAUCCAUUGGGACCCAUAACGUACACCAUGAUGGGUUUUCCUGUACUUUGUUCAAAACUACAAAAAUCUCCUUUUGUACUGUAGGUCCGAUUGACUUGAACUGUGAUGCAUGUCUUUCUAUAGGGUGAUGAGCAAUAAGGAAUCAAAUAAAAAAUUUGCUGAACUAUUUACAUAUUGGUGAAUUGACAUCUGUUGUGCAUAUUUCUUGUCCAUAAAUCAAUGGAACAUUAAACUUUGGACUUGAUCUGUGGCACACACAAAAAGGACACUAAGGUAUCUUUAAUAGUUACAUUAUAUUUAACUAUCUUUAUCGUCCACUAGAUGGCACUGUCUUGGAUCCAGCCAAACCACACUUCAUUCAGAUUUGUUUUUGCAUCAGGAAUAAAUUCAAAAUGUUAGUGUUGUAUCAACAUGAAAUAAUUCUCUAAAAUUCUCAGACUCCUGAUUUGUUCUAGACAAUUAUCAUUUGUGGAAAACUACAAAAAUGAACUUAAAAUCUGCCAUUGAUCCAAAUGCAUUGAAAUGUUACAUCUGUGGGAUACAUUUCUCCACCAUGUCAAUUUUGAAAUGGUCCGCAAUCUUGAGGAAUCCGCAAUUGCUGCUUGCAGCUAAUUUUUAUUAUUUUUAUCCCAGUAGCAGUAUUGUAUUACUACUUUGUAGAAGUACAAUAAAUUACUAAGUCCUCUCUUUCUUUUCUUGUCUCUUUAGCUAACUGAUGUGGAAGUCAGUUAGGGGAGUUAAGGUGGGUGUCCUGACUGAGUGAUGAUACCAGACAUGAUGGUUUCUUCCCAGCUGAUGUCCUGAAUGUUGCUGUGAUACUGGAAAGGGAGAUUGUUUCAGAACGAAGAUGUUCCUAAUGCUCUUGCUAUACUGCUUGGACUACUGUGUUCUGAACAUUGAGUAUCCCAAAGAACUACUAUCCCAAAGAACUGAUAUACCUUUUGAGGUACUUCAAAGAAUUUUCAUGAAAAUUGGCGAGCUGCACAGCAAGAGUUCACAAUCUAAAAAAUAAAUGAAUGCAGUGAUGUAAAAAUGCUGCAAUGCAA